Molecule: long non-coding RNA, 447 nt
Organism: Peromyscus leucopus (white-footed mouse)
Lineage: Eukaryota; Metazoa; Chordata; Mammalia; Rodentia; Cricetidae
Exons: 2
Source: RefSeq, a predicted model, not a curated record
ACUGUUCUGUCAGGCUUUGGGACAGAGACUCCAGGGCUUCCUGGAAGAAGAGUUCACGGUCACACCCAGGGUCCCAUGUCUGGAUCUAGACAGACCUGAGAAAAGGGACUCUCCAUUUGAGGAACUGCCUCCGUCAGACUGGCCUGUACGCAUGCCUGUUGGCAAUUUUCUUAAUUGCUAUUUGAUGUAUGAGUGCCUGGCCUGCUGUGGGCAGUGCUAUCCCCGGGCAGCUGGACCUGGCCUGUAUACAAAAGGUGGCUGAAACAAGCCAGAAAUGGGCUAGUAAACAGUGUUCCUCUGUGGUCUCGACUUCAGUUCCUGCCUUGAGUUCCCUCAACGAUGGGCUGUAACUUGUAAACGGACACAAACCUUUCCUCCUCACACUGGUUUCAGUCAGUGUUUUAUCACAGCAUAUUAAAACAAAUGGUGACCAGAGUUCUAAAACCA